UGGGGAAUCUUGCACAAUGGGGGCAACCCUGAUGCAGCGACGCCGCGUGAGCGAUGAAGCCCUUCGGGGCGUAAAGCUCUUUCGACCGGAACGAUAAUGACGGUACCGGGAGAAGAAGCUGCGGCUAACUACGUGCCAGCAGCCGCGGUAAUACGUAGGCAGCAAGCGUUGUUCGGAGUUACUGGGCGUAAAGAGUGCGUAGGCGGUUUUCUAAGUUCGGUGUGAAAUCUCCCGGCUUAACUGGGAGGGUGCGCCGAAGACUGGGAAGCUGGAGUGUGGGAAAGGCAGGCGGAAUUCCUGGUGUAGCGGUGAAAUGCGUAGAUAUCAGGAGAAACACCGGCGGUGUAGACGGCUUGCUAGACCAUAACUGACGCUGAGGCACGAAAGCGUGGGUAGCAAACAG
Molecule: ribosomal RNA, 403 nt
Filed under: uncultured bacterium
Lineage: Bacteria
Description: bacterial SSU rRNA
Rfam family: Bacterial small subunit ribosomal RNA
Source: RNAcentral